AGCAGCCGCGGUAAUUCCAGCUCCAAUAGCGCAUAUUAAAGUUGUUGCAGUUAAAAAGCUCGUAGUUGAAUUUCGGGGUCAGUAGAUUGGUCGUGCCACUGGUAUGUACUGGUCUUACUGGCUCCUCCUUCCUGAUGAACCGUAAUGCCAUUAAUUUGGUGUUGCGGGGAGACUGGACUGUUACUUUGAAAAAAUUAGAGUGUUUAAAGCAGGCUAACGCUUGAAUACAUUAGCAUGGAAUAAUGAAAUAGGACGUUCGAUCUUAUUUUGUUGGUUUCUAGGAUUGACGUAAUGAUUAAUAGGGAUAGUUGGGGGCAUUAGUAUUCAAUUGUCAGAGGUGAAAUUCUUGGAUUUAG
Molecule: ribosomal RNA, 356 nt
Filed under: uncultured Glomeraceae
Lineage: Eukaryota; Fungi; Glomeromycota; Glomeromycetes; Glomerales; Glomeraceae
Description: SSU rRNA
Rfam family: Eukaryotic small subunit ribosomal RNA
Source: RNAcentral